This 338-nucleotide RNase P RNA is filed under the name uncultured Anaerosporomusa sp. Its description in RNAcentral is "Bacterial RNase P class A". It matches the Rfam family "Bacterial RNase P class A". Rfam says of the family: Ribonuclease P (RNase P) is a ubiquitous endoribonuclease, found in archaea, bacteria and eukarya as well as chloroplasts and mitochondria. Its best characterised activity is the generation of mature 5'-ends of tRNAs by cleaving the 5'-leader elements of precursor-tRNAs. Cellular RNase Ps are ribonucleoproteins. The record is from RNAcentral. Lineage: Bacteria; Bacillati; Bacillota; Negativicutes; Acetonemataceae.
AGCAGGAAAGAUGGUCGCGGGCGGUCUCCGUCCGAGGAAAGUCCGAGCUCCGCAGGGCAGGGUGCUGGAUAACGUCCAGCGAGGGCGACCUUAGGGAAAGUGCCACAGAAAAGAAACCGCCUGCUUCCGGCAGGUAAGGCUGAAACGGUGCGGUAAGAGCGCACCAGCGGUCAGGCGACUGGCCGGCUAGGUAAACCCCACCCGGAGCAAGAUCGAAUAGGGAAGAGAUGAGGCGGCCCGCUGAACUUCCGGGUUGUAUCGCUGGAGCUGACAGGUAACUGUCAGCCUAGAUAGAUGACCAUCGCCGCCGUCUGGCGGAACAAAACUCGGCUUACUGA